This 301-nucleotide ribosomal RNA is filed under the name uncultured bacterium. Its description in RNAcentral is "partial 16S ribosomal RNA". It matches the Rfam family "Bacterial small subunit ribosomal RNA", at positions 509 to 807 of the family's 1533-position model. The record is from RNAcentral.
CAGUCGCCACGGUAAUACGUAGGUGGCAAGCGUUGUCCGGAAUUAUUGGGCGUAAAGGGCUCGCAGGCGGUUUCUUAAGUCUGAUGUGAAAGCCCCCGGCUCAACCGGGGAGGGUCAUUGGAAACUGGGAAACUUGAGUGCAGAAGAGGAGAGUGGAAUUCCACGUGUAGCGGUGAAAUGCGUGGAGAUGCGGAGGAACACCAGUGGCGAAGGCGACUCUCUGGUCUGUAACUGACGCUGAGGAGCGAAAGCGUGGGGAGCGAACAGGAUUAGAUACCCCUGUAGUCCCUGUCUCUUAUAC